AGAUAUCCAGUUAAAUCUGAAUUUCAGAUAUAUGAUGAAUAAUUGAUUUAGUAUAACCAUGUGCCAUGUAAUACUUGGGACAUAUUUAUACUAAAAAAUAUUCCUAGUUAUAUUUGAAAUGCAAAUUUAAGUAGGUAUUUUCUAGUA
This 147-nucleotide microRNA precursor is filed under the name Tursiops truncatus (common bottlenose dolphin). RNAcentral's name for it is "miRNA (ENSTTRG00000024074.1)". Lineage: Eukaryota; Metazoa; Chordata; Mammalia; Artiodactyla; Delphinidae. The record is from RNAcentral.